CAUAGAUUAACUGAAUAACUAACACAGAGGGCUUCUGGGUGGGGAAAGGAGAAUUGUCUGCUGGGAAAAAGUCUUAAAGGGGGCAGGGACUAACUAAAACACCCUCCCACGAAAGACUUAAUAAUGAGGCAAAACCCAUACUAACUACAGGGAAACUGAAUCUUAAAAGGGAAAUAACUAAAGGCUCUGUGGGGGCAUGACAUUCCCUGUUUUAUCCAGGGUGG
Molecule: long non-coding RNA, 224 nt
Organism: Sphaerodactylus townsendi
Lineage: Eukaryota; Metazoa; Chordata; Lepidosauria; Squamata; Sphaerodactylidae
Exons: 3
Source: RefSeq, a predicted model, not a curated record